RNAcentral lists this ribosomal RNA (354 nucleotides) under Triticum aestivum (bread wheat). RNAcentral's name for it is "partial small subunit ribosomal RNA". The record is from RNAcentral. Lineage: Eukaryota; Viridiplantae; Streptophyta; Magnoliopsida; Poales; Poaceae.
AUGGUGCCUCUCUACCGAGGCCUGCUGCUGCUACUGAUGGCGCUUCCGCCAUCCGCCCAUGGAGCAGCCAUGGCUAGAAGCAAAAUCUCCACCGCCUUCAUGUUCGGCGAUUCGAUCGUCGACCCCGGCAACAACAACGACCGGCUGACGGAGGCCAAGGCCAACUUCCCAUCGUACGGGCAGGACUUCCCCGGCGGGGUGGCCACCGGGAGGUUCUUCAACGGGAAGGUUCCCGGAGACAUGCUAGGAGCUGCUAAUGAGAUGCAUAUAGUUCAGUCCUACUGGCCCGUCAGCUUGGUUUUCAUCCGUCGUGCAUUUUUUUCCUGCCCCCUUCUCCAUUUAGCGCACAGCUAA